GGAUAACCUACCCUUAGGACUGGGAUAACCUUGGGAAACUGAGGCUAAUACCGGAUAGGCAAUUUUUCCUGUAAUGGUUUUUUGUUUAAAUGUUUUUUCGCCUAAGGAUGGGUCUGCGGCCGAUUAGGUAGUUGGUUAGGUAAUGGCUUACCAAGCCGUUGAUCGGUACGGGUUGUGAGAGCAAGAGCCCGGAGAUGGAACCUGAGACAAGGUUCCAGGCCCUACGGGGUGCAGCAGGCGCGAAACCUCCGCAAUGUGAGAAAUCGCGACGGGGGGAUCCCAAGUGCCAUUCUUAACGGGAUGGCUUUUCAUUAGUGUAAAGAGCUUUUGGAAUAAGAGCUGGGCAAGACCGGUGCCAGCCGCCGCGGUAACACCGGCAGCUCUAGUGGUAGCAAUUUUUAUUGGGCCUAAAGCGUCCGUAGCCGGUUUAAUAAGUCUCUGGUGAAAUCCUGUAGCUUAACUGUGGGAAUUGCUGGAGAUACUAUUAGACUUGAGACCGGGAGAGGUUAGAGGUACUCCCAGGGUAGAGGUGAAAUUCUGUAAUCCUGGGAGGACCGCCUGUUGCGAAGGCGUCUAACUGGAA
Molecule: ribosomal RNA, 583 nt
Filed under: uncultured archaeon
Lineage: Archaea
Description: bacterial SSU rRNA
Rfam family: Archaeal small subunit ribosomal RNA
Source: RNAcentral